GAAUGCUGACAUAAGUAACGAUAAAGCGGGUGAAAAGCCCGCUCGCCGGAAGACCAAGGGUUCCUGUCCAACGUUAAUCGGGGCAGGGUGAGUCGACCCCUAAGGCGAGGCCGAAAGGCGUAGUCGAUGGGAAACGGGUUAAUAUUCCCGUACUUGGUGUUACUGCGAAGGGGGGACGGAGAAGGCUAUGUUGGCCGGGCGACGGUUGUCCCGGUUUAAGCGUGUAGGUGUGUGUUCCAGGUAAAUCCGGUUCACUUUAACACUGAGGCGUGAUGACGAGGCACUACGGUGCUGAAGCAACAAAUGCCCUGCUUCCAGGAAAAGCCUCUAAGCAUCAGGUAACAUCAAAUCGUACCCCAAACCGACACAGGUGGUCAGGUAGAGAAUACCAAGGCGCUUGAGAGAACUCGGGUGAAGGAACUAGGCAAAAUGGUGCCGUAACUUCGGGAGAAGGCACGCUGACAUGUAGGUGAAGUGAUUUACUCAUGGAGCUGAAGUCAGUCGAAGAUACCAGCUGGCUGCAACUGUUUAUUAAAAACACAGCACUGUGCAAACACGAAAGUGGACGUAUACGGUGUGACGCCUGCCCGGUGCCGGAAGGUUAAUUGAUGGGGUCAGCGCAAGCGAAGCUCCUGAUCGAAGCCCCGGUAAACGGCGGCCGUAACUAUAACGGUCCUAAGGUAGCGAAAUUCCUUGUCGGGUAAGUUCCGACCUGCACGAAUGGCGUAAUGAUGGCCAGGCUGUCUCCACCCGAGACUCAGUGAAAUUGAACUCGCUGUGAAGAUGCAGUGUACCCGCGGCAAGACGGAAAGACCCCGUGAACCUUUACUAUAGCUUGACACUGAACAUUGAGCCUUGAUGUGUAGGAUAGGUGGGAGGCUUUGAAGCGUGGACGCCAGUCUGCGUGGAGCCGACCUUGAAAUACCACCCUUUAAUGUUUGAUGUUCUAACGUGGAUCCGUAAUCCGGGUUGCGGACAGUGUCUGGUGGGUAGUUUGACUGGGGCGGUCUCCUCCUAAAGAGUAACGGAGGAGCACGAAGGUUGGCUAAUCCUGGUCGGACAUCAGGAGGUUAGUGCAAUGGCAUAAGCCAGCUUGACUGCGAGCGUGACGGCGCGAGCAGGUGCGAAAGCAGGUCAUAGUGAUCCGGUGGUUCUGAAUGGAAGGGCCAUCGCUCAACGGAUAAAAGGUACUCCGGGGAUAACAGGCUGAUACCGCCCAAGAGUUCAUAUCGACGGCGGUGUUUGGCACCUCGAUGUCGGCUCAUCACAUCCUGGGGCUGAAGUAGGUCCCAAGGGUAUGGCUGUUCGCCAUUUAAAGUGGUACGCGAGCUGGGUUUAGAACGUCGUGAGACAGUUCGGUCCCUAUCUGCCGUGGGCGCUGGAGAACUGAGGGGGGCUGCUCCUAGUACGAGAGGACCGGAGUGGACGCAUCACUGGUGUUCGGGUUGUCAUGCCAAUGGCACUGCCCGGUAGCUAAAUGCGGAAGAGAUAAGUGCUGAAAGCAUCUAAGCACGAAACUUGCCCCGAGAUGAGUUCUCCCUGAGACUUAGAGUCUCCUGAAGGAACGUUGAAGACGACGACGUUGAUAGGCCGGGUGUGUAAGCGCAGCGAUGCGUUGAGCUAACCGGUACUAAUGAACCGUGAGGCUUAACCUUACA
This 1658-nucleotide ribosomal RNA is filed under the name Salmonella enterica subsp. enterica serovar Infantis. Its description in RNAcentral is "partial 23S ribosomal RNA". It matches the Rfam family "Bacterial large subunit ribosomal RNA", at positions 1292 to 2925 of the family's 2925-position model. Lineage: Bacteria; Pseudomonadati; Pseudomonadota; Gammaproteobacteria; Enterobacterales; Enterobacteriaceae. The record is from RNAcentral.